CCCACCCACAGGAUGAAGCAGAGCUCAGAAGGUAGCUCGCAUUGUUUUAAACUCGACAACAUGGGCCGUGUUUCUGCACUAUAAAAUGUCACCUCGCUUGAAACCCGUAACACAGAAGAGGAAAAAAAAAAAGAAGCAUAAAAUAUCACAAGCCUCUCAGGACCACCGUCGGUCAGUCGACGAGCCGCUCGAGCUCUUUAUUUGCUUUUGUUAUUUGUUCAGCGCACAAAAUAGAAACACAAAAUGCUAUCAUUUCCUUUCCACAAACAAAUACGCCGUCUCCGGGGCUACGGAGGCUGCACGAAGAUAUCCGAGAUAAGCUUGGUAUAACAGAGGGAAAGAUUUCUCUUCUCUGUGUGUGUGUGUGUGUGUGGCUCUACAGUAAGUCGAGGGCAAGGCUGUAAAAAAAAAAACAACGUAUUUUUUCACUCGAAUGUCACGAACCGACGUUUACGUACGGAUAACGGCAGACGAUACAAUUUAUCAGAUCCGACUAUUCCUGCGAGUCUCAACUGAAUAUAUAUUUCAAGGCCGUUUCGGUUGCCAUGAACUUUGUGUUCUCUGAUUAAAGUCGGAUUUGAGUCGUAUUCGAUCCACGACCUCGGAAGUGCAACAUUAACGACGAUAACGUCUCUUAAAACGAGGAUACAGACGUAGCUAAUUGUUAUGUUAGUUCCUGUUAUGUUAGUUAUAUUAUUAUGAGUCAUAAAACAUGAAAUGUUCCCUGAGUUUAUUGGCUGGUGGCCGGUAGGGUAAGAAAAAGGACACACCAAUCAGAAUCAGGCAUUUUUUAAAUCUAGCUACGGUCAUGAAGGUGUAUGCAGGAGAAUAGGAUCUGUUUUUAUUUAAUACCAAAUGUCAUAAUCUGUGGGGGAAACAGUCAGUUAUUGGAACAGUCAGUCAGUCAGUGAAGGUUUCGUAUUUACUAGCUACUCUCCUGGAUGUCUCCAGGAUGUCACGGACAAUCCGCAUUGUUCUUGGUGAAAGGACGAGCUCAGCAUUCAGCAUCUGCUUUUGUAACUACUCUUUCUGUGCAUUCGGAAUAAGGCAGGAAACUGCGUGUAAAUCAGCACUUCUGAAAUAAUUCACAGAAACAGGAUGGAGCUGAGCUCAGAAACACGGCACAGGAUGAGCUACACGUGAUAAAAGUCAAACAGAUAGGAUGCAGGUCAGAAAGCUGACGACUGCAGCAUCCUUGGCACAAGAAACAGGAAUCAGAACUUUACCAGCGCGGCGAGGCGGUCUUUCAUCUUACAGCGCAUUUUCCGGUCUGCGUCCACCAGCGAGGAGAUCAGGAUGUUCAGCAUGUCGGCGGUUUGUUCCACAAGAAGAUCUCACACGGUUAAUUCUCUCUCAAGCCUCCAGACCGAAGACACGACUGUAAAUACGGGAUGUCGGCGGAAAGACGCCUCCGGUCAGUGCAGAGGCAUAGAGACGGGGAGACGGAGUGACGGAGAGACAGAGUGACAGAGAGACGGAGAGACAGAGUGACGGAGAGAAGGAGAGAAAGAUUGACAGAGUGACAGAGAGACGGAGAGACAGAGCGAGUGACGGAGGAAUCGGAUCAAAAGCAGCUUUGUCCUGUUUCUCAGUAAACAACACAAACACACUGGGAGUCAAACAUUAGGCCUCGGAGCUCAGGUCCAAAUAAAAAGACAAACGUGAGCUCAGUGUUGGUUACGCUCGUGUUACAAUAACCCCCGAACACGUCAGAGGAAGUGUGCGGUUUGGAGCGAGCGCUCGCCGAGGUCACGUAGCUGCAGCACGAGGUCAGGGGGUGGAGUUAGGAAGAGGAGCGAGAAGUGUGACGGAGAACCGUAAACACCGAGAUCUGAGCCUUCUGAGAUCGGACCGUCUGAUUAUUAUUAAAGAGCUUAGAGGAGAGAAGGAAUUGUUGAUUUAUUUCCUGUAGCAGCAGAUCUGUGCAGCUGAUAUGGUAUCGUUACUAUAGCAACAGCUCAUUCACAGAGCCUUGUUCGUCUUAAUUAAAAACAGAUUAAAAAAAAAUAUUUUCAAAAUUUUCUUUCUUUCUUUCUUUCUUUCUUUCUU
Tachysurus fulvidraco (yellow catfish) is the source of this 2049-nucleotide long non-coding RNA. RefSeq lists it as uncharacterized. NCBI's taxonomy places the organism in Eukaryota, Metazoa, Chordata, Actinopteri, Siluriformes, Bagridae. The record is from RefSeq and is a predicted model, not a curated record. The transcript is spliced from 3 exons.